AUUGAACGCUGGCGGCAGGCCUAACACAUGCAAGUCGAACGGUAACAGGAAGAAGCUUGCUUCUUUGCUGACGCGUGGCGGACGUGUGUGUCACGUCUGGGACACUCCCUUAUGGCUGGGGUUAACUACUGGAACCGGUAGCUAAUACCGCCUAUCGUCGCAAGCGCAUAGGUGGAGACCUUCGGGCCGCUUUCCAUCGGAUUUGCCCAGGUGGGAUUAGCUAGUAGGUGGGGUAACAGGUCACCUAGGCGACGAUGCAUAGCUGGUCUGAGAGGAUGACCAGCCACACUGGAACUGAGACACGGUCCAGACUCCUACGGGAGGCAGCAGUGGGGAAUAUUGCACAAUGGGCGCAAGCCUGAUGCAGCCAUGCCGCGUGUAUGAAGAAGGCCUUCGGGUUGUAAAAUACUUUCAGCGGGGAAGAAGGGAGUAAAGUUAAUACCUUUGCUCAUUGACGUUACCCGCACAAGAAGCACCGGCUAACUACGUG
This 490-nucleotide ribosomal RNA is filed under the name uncultured bacterium. RNAcentral describes it as "partial 16S ribosomal RNA". It matches the Rfam family "Bacterial small subunit ribosomal RNA", at positions 30 to 507 of the family's 1533-position model. The record is from RNAcentral.